RNAcentral lists this ribosomal RNA (637 nucleotides) under uncultured bacterium. RNAcentral's name for it is "bacterial SSU rRNA". The stretch from base 1 to 535 matches the Rfam family "Bacterial small subunit ribosomal RNA", at positions 338 to 873 of the family's 1533-position model. The record is from RNAcentral.
CCUACGGGAGGCAGCAGUAAGGAAUAUUGGUCAAUGGACGAAAGUCUGAACCAGCCAUGCCGCGUGAAGGAUUAAGGCCCUCUGGGUUGUAAACUUCUUUUAUCUGGGACGAAAAAAGGGUAGUCUUACUCACUUGACGGUACCAGAGGAAUAAGCACCGGCUAACUCCGUGCCAGCAGCCGCGGUAAUACGGAGGGUGCAAGCGUUAUCCGGAUUUACUGGGUUUAAAGGGUGCGUAGGUGGGCUUGUAAGUCAGUGGUGAAAUCUCCGGGCUUAACCCCGGAAACUGCCAUUGAUACUAUAGGUCUUGAAUUAUCUGGAGGUAAGCGGAAUAUGUCAUGUAGCGGUGAAAUGCUUAGAUAUGACAUAGAACACCAAUUGCGAAGGCAGCUUACUACGGAUACAUUGACACUGAGGCACGAAAGCGUGGGGAUCAAACAGGAUUAGAUACCCUGGUAGUCCACGCCCUAAACGAUGGAUACUCGACAUCAGCGAUACACUGUUGGUUGUCGUGAGCGAAGACAUAAGUACUACCGACCGUACGGAAGGUACGAGCGCGAAGUAGUUAGUUAACGUUACGUAAAGUUAAGUUAGUACGGCGUUGAGACGNGCCGACGGACGACGACGAGGGAGGAGG